UACGUAGGGGGCAAGCGUUGUCCGGAUUUACUGGGCGUAAAGAGCGCGCAGGCGGUCGUUCAAGUCGCGUGUGAAAGCCCCCGGCUCAACUGGGGAGGGUCACGCGAUACUGAUCGACUCGAAGGCAGGAGAGGGUAGUGGAAUUCCCGGUGUAGUGGUGAAAUGCGUAGAUAUCGGGAGGAACACCAGUGGCGAAGGCGACUACCUGGCCUGUUUCUUGACGCUGAGGCGCGAAAGCUAGGGGAGCAAACGGG
Molecule: ribosomal RNA, 254 nt
Filed under: uncultured bacterium
Lineage: Bacteria
Description: partial 16S ribosomal RNA
Rfam family: Bacterial small subunit ribosomal RNA
Source: RNAcentral